Molecule: ribosomal RNA, 500 nt
Filed under: uncultured Glomeromycotina
Lineage: Eukaryota; Fungi; Glomeromycota
Description: partial small subunit ribosomal RNA
Rfam family: Eukaryotic small subunit ribosomal RNA
Source: RNAcentral
CCAAUAGCGUAUAUUAAAGUUGUUGCAGUUAAAAAGCUCGUAGUUGAAUUUCGGGGUUAGUAGGUUGGUCGUGCCAUUGGUGUGUACUAGUCUAACUGAUUCCUCCUUCUUGAAGAACUGUAAUGUCAUUAAUUUGGUGUUGCAGGGAAACAGGACUGUUACUUUGAAAAAAUUAGAGUGUUUAAAGCAGGCUAACGCUUGAAUACAUUAGCAUGGAAUAAUGAAAUAGGACGUUCGAUCUUAUUUUGUUGGUUUCUAGGAUUGACGUAAUGAUUAAUAGGGAUAGUUGGGGGCAUUAGUAUUCAAUUGUCAGAGGUGAAAUUCUUGGAUUUAUUGAAGACUAACUACUGCGAAAGCAUUUGCCAAGGAUGUUUUCAUUAAUCAAGAACGAAAGUUAGGGGAUCGAAGACGAUCAGAUACCGUCGUAGUCUUAACCAUAAACUAUGCCGACUAGGGAUCGGAUGAUGUUAAUUUUUUAAUGACUCAUUCGGCGCCUUACG